RNAcentral lists this ribosomal RNA (200 nucleotides) under uncultured bacterium. Its description in RNAcentral is "partial 16S ribosomal RNA". It matches the Rfam family "Bacterial small subunit ribosomal RNA", at positions 332 to 528 of the family's 1533-position model. The record is from RNAcentral.
AAGGUACGGGAGGCAGCAGUAGGGAAUCUUCCGCAAUGGGCGAAAGCCUGACGGAGCAACGCCGCGUGAGUGAAGAAGGAUUUCGGUUCGUAAAGCUCUGUUGUUAGGGAAGAACAGCGCAUAGAGUAACUGUUAUGCGUGUGACGGUAUCUAACCAGAAAGCCACGGCUAACUACGUGCCAGCAGCCGCGGUAAUCCUU